Molecule: ribosomal RNA, 274 nt
Filed under: uncultured bacterium
Lineage: Bacteria
Description: partial 16S ribosomal RNA
Rfam family: Bacterial small subunit ribosomal RNA
Source: RNAcentral
AUACGGAGGGUGCAAGCGUUAUCCGGAAUCAUUGGGUUUAAAGGGUGCGCAGGCGGUUUAUUAAGUCAGUGGUGAAAUCUCGAGGCUCAACCUCGAAACUGCCAUUGAUACUGAUAAACUUGAGUUCAGUUGGAGUAGGCGGAAUGUGUAGUGUAGCGGUGAAAUGCUUAGAUAUUACACAGAACACCGAUAGCGAAGGCAGCUUACUAAACUGAUACUGACGCUGAGGCACGAAAGCGUGGGGAGCGAACAGAAUUAGAAACCCUAGUAGUCC